Folsomia candida is the source of this 3603-nucleotide RNA transcript. RefSeq lists it as uncharacterized. The record is from RefSeq and is a predicted model, not a curated record. The transcript has 5 exons. NCBI's taxonomy places the organism in Eukaryota, Metazoa, Arthropoda, Collembola, Entomobryomorpha, Isotomidae.
GUAGUAUACAGUGUGGCCCGAAAGUUUUAGACUACAAGAAAUCUGUUUCGUGACAUUCGAGCUUUGUAGAUAGAGCACUGUCGAGCGUAGUAGAGCGCUGUAGAUAGAGCGCUGUGGUGCGCGUUGGAGAGUUGUAGAACGUUGUAAAGUGUUGUGGAGCGUGUUAGAGCGCUGUGGAGCGUUGUAGAUAGAGCGCUGUGGAGCGUGUUAGAGCGCUGUGGAGCGUUGUAGAUAGAGCGUUGUGGAGCGUUGUAAAGUGCUGUGGAGCGUUGUCGAGCGCUGUGGAGCGUUGUCGAGCGCUGUGGAGCGUUGUCGAGCGCUGUGGAGCGUUGUCGAGCGCUGUGGAGCGUUGUAGAUAGAGCGCUGUGGAGAGUUGUAGAGUGUUGUGGAGCGCUGUGGAGAGUUGUAGAGUGUUGUGGAGCGCUGUCAAGCGCUGUAGAUAGAGCGCUGUGGUGCCGCACCACUGGUGCGCUUUGGAGACUUGUAGAACGUUGUAAAGUGCUGUGGAGCGUCGUAGAUAGAGCGCUGUGGAGGGUUGUAGAACGUUGUGGAGCGUUGUCGAGCGCUGUCAAGCGUUGUAGUUGUAGAGCGCUGUGGCGAGUUGUACAGCGUUGUAGAUAGAGCGCUGUGGAGAGUUGUAGAGCGUUGUGGAGCGCUGUGGAGCGUGGUAGAGAGCUGUGGAGCGUGGUAGAGCGCUGUGAGGCGUGAUGGAUUAGAUUAGGCGAUCCUGGCCGAGAAUCAUUUUACAAAUUAUAAUUCACAUAUUUAGUGCAUGGUGCAAACUUUUGGGCCACACUGUAACAUUCAUCUUUCUUCCGAUGCAAACAAAUAUGCCGUAGUCAGCUGCACACAUACUGCAUGGGCCAGGAAAAGUGAAAAGGCUUUUCCGAAAACCUAAACAUCACUUAACUUAGUUAAGUAAUAAUUUUGAUUUCUAAAAUUCGACUAAUAAAAAUUUAAAAAUUAUUACGUGCAAUUUUUUCAACUUAUUCCAAAGCAGUGUAAGUUCAAAGUUAAAGUUAAAGUUAAAGUUAAAGUCAGACUUUAAACUUUAACUAUAUUGAUGAAUCAAUCACCAUAUUUCUUUAUUUUGUAAAUAAAGAUCUCUCUGUAUUUGAUUACAUACAAUGAGGUUCGAAAUAUUAACCGGUCAGGUCGAAUUAUUGCAUCGCCAGCUCACACAGACUUAUCAAAUUGUCCAGCAUUUUAUUGAUAACGAAUUCGGAGCAACGGAACAAUUAAAGUUGGAAUUGUCCUCUUUUCUGUGUCACUUCUCGACUUUGUCAACGCAUCUGGCAAGUGCAAAAACAAAAGUGGACACCUUCAUAGGUCAAUCAGAGCCAUGCACUCUUAUCAAUGAGAUUGAUAGUGGGAGUAGCGAAAAUUAUGGGGUGGAAAAUGUAGUCAUUAAGAUGGAGGUGAGCGACCCCCCAUGCCCAAUUGAACUGGAAGACAUUGAACUAUUUCCUGAACAGUGGAGUGGCAAUGCAUCAACGGCUAUUGUUAAAGGAAGAAGAGCAGUGAAACGUUCUAAAAAUGCAGGCGAAAACUGCGAGGUUGGUCUUUUAAAUUAGAAUGACUCGGACUCUGACUAUGUACCUCCACCUUCUGAAGAUUCACAUCAAUCUGAACUUAGCGACACAGUAGUUUUCCAGAAGAGCGACGACCUCGGAGAAUUAAUCCAACUGGCCGAAGGCGAAAAAAAAUUAACCAAGAUCUGCUUUGUGUGUCAGAAAGAAUUUUAUACUACGAGUGGGCUAGCAAAUCACAUGUCGAGACAUGACAAGGAUGCUAAGAGUACGAAGGAAUUAAAUCAUAGGAGACGAAUGCGUGGUUUGGAAUAUGUCGGAUAUUCAAAAGUCGAAGCUAGUUCAACCGGAGCAAAAAUUAUUCAAGUUAAAAAGACACCGAGAUCCGGUCGUCGUCUCGGUCCAGCUUGUACUUCCUGCACGAAGAGUAAAAUACGAAAGUGCGUUCACUUUAGUGAAGAAGUGAGAAAGGAAUUGUUUGACAACUUUUGGAUAAGUAUGGACUGGAAAGCAAAGAAAUCGUAUGUCAGGGGCUUGGUAGAUGUCAUCCAGGAUGAUUGUCAAACAACCCAGCACCAUUCGAGGAGAAAAAUAUAGUGUAUCACUUACCGAUACGGGCCGGGUUAAAAGUCAAAGUUUGUAGAGCCAUGUUCUUGGCCACGCUUGGAAUCGGAAAAAAGCAGUUGGUGAACUGGGUACGGAAAGAUGACAGUGUUGAUCAUGGUAGUACCGCUCAAGUGGUCAAAGAAGAUGAGGUCCAUUGAAGAUAUCGAAAGUUGUAGUUUAAAUGCAUUUGUACAAGAAACUGAAUAGUAAUAUUUUUAUAUUUACUGCUGAUAUUAUCUAAAGAAGGGUAUCUGUUAUGGUGAUCGUUUUGGGCUAAAUUUCGAUGAGUUUUGAAUUAUUUUGAUAAGAAAUUAAGGCGAUUUUUUGGGCUAAUAUAUCUUAUCAAAAUUCGUUUGGUUGUCAGUGGUUUUUGAUUGGUAAAUAGAGCUCAAUGAUUCUUACCCCGAUUUAAGACUUGGGGAACCGUUUUGCCAGUCUGUCUGUUCGUCUGUCUGUUCAUUUUCAACUUUGUCAAAUGAACCCCGAUUAACUGCAAACUUGGCGAGUUGGCAAAUUAUACUAUCAAACAAUUAUUCAGCAUGUCUACUAUAACUCCAAGGGUCCUGUUUGAGUCACUUCCAACCCAUGAAUGUAAUCAAUGUUUUUUUCUUGUCGGGCUUUGGUUUAUAAAUAUUGGAAAUUUUAUGCAAAAUUGUAGCAACGCGCAACAUGGUUACCAUUUUAUUAAUACCUGUGGUAAUUUUGCAUGGUUUCCAUUUUAUUCCCUGUUUUUUGAUGCAUUUGAAUUUAUUGCUCGAAAUCUAGAAAUGUACCAUCUUAAAUUCUUUGAUGAAAAAUCACCAAUAGUAUGAUCAUCAACAUAUGCAAAUAUUUACAAAAUCGUUCGUGGGCUUCGUAUUUUAAUUUGCGUUUUUGUUUUUGGCCUAUCUAAAUACGUGUUAAACAUAGCCCAGGAGAAUAUUUGUUUCUCCACUUGUGGGCAUGUACCAUUGCUGAAAUUUUCAGGAAUGGUAGUUUGAAAGUUGUUUGAUAUCGUAUUAAAAAAAUCAGAAAAAUCGUUCGUGGGCUUCAUCGUUUUAUAAUUCAUCGAAAUUUAGCCCAAUACGAUCGUCUUAAUAGAUACCAAGCUUUCAGAAAUUUGACGACUUAUAAGUUUAGUUAACUUAUCGUCUAAUUUUGUAUUACGUAAUUGCAGAAGUUUAUGUAUUCCAAUAAACUGCACGGUUGGCUUUAAAUAUGUAUGAAGUCAUGGCCUAUUUUUGUUAACCUAGAUAAGUAAUUACGUUAAUUAAUCCACGUUUGUAUCUAAUCGUACGUUGUACAUUUAGCUUCAAAUUUUGACUCAGAAAAUGCUACAAAAAAUAGAUAUGCAAUGAUAUAAAGAAUCACUUAUCUACUUGGAAAAUGUUAACUAUGUAUCUGUAUGCUCGCUGUAAUCAAGGUUCCUGGAAUUGCAAGGAUUCAGACAAAAACAUGCGUAUUAAUAAAUGAAUGUAUAUAAACGAAA